RNAcentral lists this ribosomal RNA (608 nucleotides) under Cicindela hybrida. RNAcentral's name for it is "partial 16S ribosomal RNA". It matches the Rfam family "Bacterial large subunit ribosomal RNA", at positions 1850 to 2739 of the family's 2925-position model. Lineage: Eukaryota; Metazoa; Arthropoda; Insecta; Coleoptera; Carabidae. RNAcentral also lists the same sequence under 1 other name. The record is from RNAcentral.
AGGUCUAACCUGCCCAAUGAGGAAUUAAAUGGCCGCAGUAUUUUGACUGUGCAAAGGUAGCAUAAUUAUUAGUUUUUUAAUUGAAAGCUUGUAUGAAGGGUUGGACGAGAUAAAAUCUGUCUUUAUUUAAAUUACAAUAGAAUUUAACUUUUAAGUCAAAAGGCUUAAAUGUAUAUAAAAGACGAGAAGACCCUAUAGAUCUUUAUUUAAUUAAUAUUUUGAUAAUUUAAGAUUAUUUUAGUUUAAAGUUUUAAUUAAAUUUUAUUGGGGUAAUAUAAAGAUUAAAUAAAUUCUUUUUAUUUAUUACAUUGAUUUAUGAAUAUAUGAUCCAAUAUUAUUGAUUAUAAGAUUAAGUUACCUUAGGGAUAACAGCGUAAUUUUUUUGGAGAGCUCAUAUCGAUAAAAAAGUUUGCGACCUCGAUGUUGGAUUAAAAAUUAGCUUGGGUGCAGAAGCUCAAGAUUUUGGUCUGUUCGACCAUUAAAUUUUUACAUGAUCUGAGUUCAGACCGGCGUAAGCCAGGUCGGUUUCUAUCUUUAUUUAUCUAAAAUAUUUUAGUACGAAAGGACCAAAUAUUUAAUAUAAUUAUAUUUAUUUUUUGAAUAAUAUU